RNAcentral lists this long non-coding RNA (7607 nucleotides) under Capsicum annuum. Its description in RNAcentral is "long non-coding RNA (CANN_LNC021465)". Lineage: Eukaryota; Viridiplantae; Streptophyta; Magnoliopsida; Solanales; Solanaceae. The record is from RNAcentral.
GUAGUUCUGGGGCAUAAAAUCUUGGAAUCAAGUCCAACUCGGUGCUAAAUACUACUCUCAUACUUAGGCUUAAAAUUUUUUAAGAAAAUCCACUUUAAAUAAUAAUAUAAUGUGUAAUGGAAGCUAACUAUGCUUCGCUUUGCUUUAAAUCGUAGAUAAAAGUGGAUUCCUAUCUUAGCUUAGGAUCAAAGCUCAACCUUCUUUAUAAUCAAAGUACUUGCUUGUUAAGUCAUUCUAAUACAUUAUUUUCAAGAAACAUCACAAUUCAUACUUGACUUAAAGCAUAUAUACAUACUCAAAUAGUCAUAAUUUCAUAAUGAAGCUUAAAUCUUGACUUCAACCUUGGGAACACUCAAAAACAUCAAUUCAUGGUAGGGAUGUGCAAUUCGUAGAAUAAUUCCCCAAAUUCAAACAUAAAUAAGUGAAAUAACAUGCAAUUUCAAGACAGGAGCAAUUUAUAAAUUCAUAACCUCAAAGUAAAGUAAAUUGGGCAAAACCUAGUUUCAAAAACAUGAAAUUCUUUAAUAAAAAUCAAAACUUUGAGCACAAGAACGGAAUGAAUUUGAAUGAAAAUCCCACAUACCUUAUAUUAUGGAAUUUGAAUGAAAUCUCACUUUUGUGACUCUAUUCGCGACUUUGAACGAAUAUUCUUGAUACCCUUGGUCUGGGAAUUCUGAUUCUUGAAGAAAUUUUAAAAAGUGAUGGUUAAAUCUUGAGUUCUCUUGAGCUUUGGGUUGAAACCCUAGAAAGUGUUCUUGGUGAACUUUAGAGAAGAAGGCUAUAUUUUGGUAUUUGGGGACCUUAAUCCCAUGUUAUGAAUGAUAGAGGGUGGGGGUAAAAAACUAAAUUACCCCUCUUGGAAGCGGAUCUUAAAAUCUAAAAAACUGGGCAUCAACGCAAUUGGUGAUGCGGCGUGUCGAUGCCAUCGACGCGAUACUGACGCGUCGCGCCAUAAUUGUGCCAAGCCUCAGUACUUUUGACUGGCAGUUCUUGCAAUAAAAUUGACCAAUGCGAUGGGCGAUGCAAAGCACCAAAUCGCGUUGGUUUACUAUUUUGGGACACCAAACGUGGUGCGAAAAUUCUAAAACUUGUUCGAGAACACCUAUUGACUUCCCUGAUCAUGAAUUAGCUAAAAUAUCAACUAUCAAAGGUCGAGAAGGUUGGUAGUAAAAUCCUCAAAGUUUCGAGGAUCUAGAAAUGACUAAGUCCCAGCACUUAGCUAGAUUUUCUAAGUCUAGGAACUCUUUGGGCAUCGUUUAAGGGAUUUAGACGAUGAGAAUUUUGUAGGGUCUUACAAUAUCUCCCCCUUGGGAACAUUCGUCCUCGAAUGCCAUUAGUUAGGUUAAGAAUAUAGGGAAAGCUAAAGAUGUACAGCUGAAAGAAUUUAUUAAACUGACUCUACAUCGUCAUAAACUUUGAGUACUUUAAAGAAUACAUGGACUCAUAAUGAGAAUAGCUAUAUAGCUGAAUCUUUGGUUAAAGAGAAUGAAUUAAGAAAGAAUAGUACCUUCAUCUUGAUAUGAACUUGUGGAGAAGAUAUGGGGGUACUUGGCAUAUCUACUUCUGCUUCCCAAGUAGCACCCUCAACUGACUGGUUUUGCCAUAAAACUUUGACCAAAGGAACUUCUUUAUUCCUUAGUCUACGAAUCUAAUGGUCUAGGAUCUCAACUGGAAUCUCUUUAUAUGAAAGACUGUUCUAAAUGUCUAAGAUCUCUGAAGGAUCUACUAUAAAGGAAUCACCAAUGUGCUUCUUAAGCAUGAAGACGUGAAAGACAGGAUGAACAGCUGACAAAUCUGCGGGCAACUCUACCUUAUAAGCUACUUUCCCAACAUGGCUUAGAAUUUUAUAGGGGAUAACAUAAAGGGGACUAAGCUUCCCCUUCUUGACAAAUCUUUUCACCCUUUUCAUAGGUGAAAUCUUCAAAUACACCAAAUCACCUACCUCAAACUUAAGGUCCCUUCCCCUCACAUCUACAUUUGACUUUUCUUCAAUCUCUCACUAAUCAUCUUGACUUUGUCCAUAGCCUCAAACACUGCAUCAGGUCCAAUUAUAUCAGCUUCACCCACUUCAAAUCAACAUAUGGGUGAUCUAUAUCUCCUCCCAUAAUGAGCCUCAAACGAGGCCAUCUGAAUGCUAGAAUGAUAAAUAUUGUUAUACGUAAAUUCAAUCAAUGGAAAAUGCUCAUCCCAACUUUCUUUAAAAUCAAGGGCACAUGCCCUCAACAUAUUUUUCAGAUUCUGGAUGGUCCUCUCAUCCUGACCAUCUGUCUAUAGAUAAAAGGCAAAACUAAGAUGCACUUGGGUACCAAGACCCUUCUGAAAAGCUCUCCAAAACUGAGAAGUAAACGGAGUACCCCUAUCUAAGAUGAUAGACAAGGGAACUCCAUGCAAUCUGACUAACUCUCAGAUAUACAACUUAGCAUAAUCCCCAGUUGUAUAAGAUGUAUGCACUGGCAGGAAAUGUACUACUUAUUUAACCCAUCUACCACAACCCAAAUAGAAUUAUGAUGAUAAUGUGAAAGGGGUAAACUAAUCACGAAAUCCAUAUUCACAUCUUCCUACUUCCAAGUGGGUAUACCAAAUUCUUGCAUUGCACCACCAGGUCUUUAGUGCUCUACCUUAACUUGUUGAUAAGUUGUACACUUUUCCACUAACUCUGCUAUAUCCUUCUUCCUACCACUCCACCAAUAGAUUUCCCAUAAGGCGUGGUACAUCUUGGUAGUGCCGAGAUGAAUAAAAUAUCGCGUACCAUGUGCUUCAGCCAUAAUUCUCUGCCUCAAAUCACAAACACAAAGAACACACAAUCUACCCUGAAACCUCAACACACUAUCUCCCCCUUGGAAGAAAACUUCUACUCUUUGGUCCUUAACUGACUUAUUCAGUUUGACCAAACUAUGAUCUAUGUCUUUCUUCUCCUUUACUUCUGAAACUAAGGAGGAUUCAGAACUACUCUGAACCCACACAUUACCUUCAACUGAAUCAAAUAACCUAACACCUAAUCUAGCCAAACGAUGAUCUUCACAAGCUAAUUCUUUCUUAUCCUUCUCCACAUGAGCCACACUACCUAUAGACAAUCGACUAAGGGUGUCUGCCACUAUAUAUUGGCCUUGCCCAGAUGUAUAACACACUUAUAUCAUAAUCUUUUAGCAACUCUAACCAUUUUCUUUGUUAAAGAUUCAACUCUCUCUGAGUAAACAUAUACUGCAGGCUUUUUUGAUCAGUAAACACAUCAACAUAAACACCAUAAAGAUAGUGUCUCCAGCUUUUCAAAGCAAAAACCACAGCAGCUAAUUCAAGAUCAUGGGUUGGGUAAUUCUUUUUAUGUGGUUUCAACUGAUUAGAGGCAUAGGCUAUAACCUUACCUCUCUGCAUCAACACAUAACCCAGGCCAACUCUAGAGAUAUCAUAAUACACCACAAAACCAUCCGUACCAUUGGGAAAAGUUAAUACAGGGGCUGAAGUGAGUCGAGUCUUCAACUCCUGAAAACUCUUCCCACACGAAUCUAACCAUAGGAACUUAACUUUUUUUUGGGUCAAUCGGUUUAUGGGAGAUGUAAAGAAGAGAAACCUUUGACAAAAUGGCGGUAAUAUCCAGCUAGACCUAAGAAACUCCUAAUGUCUGAUGAAGAUACAAGUCUAGGACAAUUUCUUACAGCUUCUAGUUUUUGGGGAUCAACUCUAAUGCCUUCGGCUGAAAUAAUAUGACCCAAAAAAGCUACUGACCUUAACCACUCACACUUACUGAAUUUGGUGAAUAAUUAAUGAUUUCUAAGAGUCUGCAGGACAAUUCUAAGAUGGUCUACAUGGUCAUCCUCACUACGGGAGUACAUAAGAAUAUCAUCUAUGAAUACUAUGAAAAACAUAUCUAGAUACUAUUUGAAUGCUCGAUACAUGAGAUCCGUGAAAGCUGCUGGAGCAUUGGUUAGCCCGAAAGAUAUGACUAAAAACUCAAAAUGAACAUAGCGGGUUUAAAAGGCUGUCUUUGGAAUAUAACACUCUCUUACUUUAAGCUGAUGAUAGCCGGAUCUAAGGUCUAUCUUUGAGAAAUAAGUUGCACCUUGCAAUUGAUCAAAUAGGUCAUCAAUUCUAGGAAGAGGGUACUUAUUCUUGAUUGUGACCUUAUUAAGAUGAUGAUAGUCAAUACACAUACACAAAGAACCAUCUUUCUUUCAUACGAACAGGACGGGUGUGCCCCAAGAAGGAAUACUGGGCCUUAUGAAACCUUUGUCUAGAAGAUCUUUGAGUUGCUCUUUCAACUCCUUAAGUUCUAUGAGGCCAUAUGGUAUGGAGGGAUAGAAAUAAGUUGUGUAUCAGGAAGAAGGUACCCCUGGGAGAUUUUCUAGAAAAACAUCAGGAAACUCAUUAACUAUGUUGACUAAUUGAAUAGUUGGAGUCUCAGACAUAGCGUCUAACUGAAUAGUUGGAGUCUCAGACAUAGCGUCUUUAACUCGAGCUACAUAAUAGAUGCAAGCUUUGGAUAUCAACUUUCUAGCUUUAAGAUAGGAUAUAAAAUGACUCUUGGGAGAUACAAAAUUUUCGGACUACUCAAAGACUGGCUCAUCUAGGAAUUGAAACUUAACCACACGAGUACGACAGUCUAUAGCUGCAUAACAAAAAUGAAGCCAAUCCAUACCCAAAAUAAGAUCAAAAUCGACCAUAUCUAACUCUAUCAAAUCAGCGAAUAUGACCUUAUAAAGAACAGUAAUAGGACACUUUUUAUAAACUUGCUUAGCAAUAACUGGCUCACCUACUGGGGUAGAAACUAGGAUAGGUUCAGAGAUCUUUUAAAGAUUUAUCUUAAAAUUCACAGCAACUAAUGAGUUCACAUAAGAGAAACUUGACCCAGGGUCCAACAACACAUAAACAUCAAAGUGAAAAACACGGAGCAUACUAGUAACAACAUUUAGAGAAUCCUCAUAUUCCUGAUGGGAUGGUAAGGAAUACAAUUAAUUCUGGCACUGACCGCCAGCUGUGCUGGAUGAAGCACCCUGGGGAGGGGCUGGAUGGGCUAAAGGAGUUGGUGCACUGGAAGCCUGAUUCUGGGGUCGAACAUCUCUGUUCCCUUGCCUAGCAUGUGGAUACUCUCUAAGUCAGUGGCCUAACUUACCAUAACCAAAACAACCCCUCUAUUAGGUCAAACACUCAUCGGGAUGGGUUCUACCACACUUAGAACUUGGGGGAUAACUGGGCCUGUUACUCACACUAUUCUAGGAUCUGGACAUAGAAGACUUAUUCCCCUACUCUUACCUAUUUCUGGGUGUGGUAGCACUAGCUAAUAAAGCUGCUGGCAUAGACGAACGGCUCUGAAACUGCAGCCGGUUCCCUCCAUGGGAUCUAGUCUUACCAUACUCAUAUUGCUCUGCUCUAUCCCUCUUAUUUUCUCUUACUCUAUCUCUCUCCUUUAUCUUAUCUGCCUCAAUCUACUGAGCAUGCAUCAUCAGUCUGGAAAGAUCUAUUUCUCUAUUGAGCAUAGCAAUCCUACACUUCUUAACAACUGAUCCAGACAUACUAGUCAUAAACUUACUUAUACUGGUUACGGGGUCACCCAUAAAAUCAGGAGCAUACUUGGAUAACUGGUAAAAAUUGAGGCAAUACUCAUUUACUGUCAAAGAUCUUUGCCUCAGUUUCAUAAAGUCCUUUAUCUUUAUUUCCCUAAUCUCAAAUGGGAAGAACUUAUCCAAGAACAUAUCCUGAAACACCUACCAAGUCAUAGGAGCUGCUUUCUCCCCUUUACUCUUCCUUCACAUAACAACCCAAUCAUAUGCAAUAUCUUUCAGCUUAUAAGAUACCAAUUCUACACUCUCUUCCUCAGAAAUAUACAUAACAUGGGUGAUCUUCUUCACCUCAUCAAGAUAUAAUUAUGGGUCCUCACCUGCUUUCGACUUAUAGAACUCUGGCAAAUUCUUCCUCAUAAAAUCUCAAAUCCUGGCUACAGCUAAAUCACCUCCUUCCUAAUGCAGAACUGUAGCCUCGUUAUUGGCUUGAACAUUUGCGGUGACCCCCUAGACUAAUGCCUGAAAAACUAUCCAGAACUCAGCAUGAGACACAUUCCCAUUAAGGGGAUCAACAGGCUAAGGUUGGUGGUUAUCAUUCUUAUAGGAAUUAGCUCUUUGGGGAGGCAUUUUCUAUCAUAAAAGAGCAUAAAUUAAUAAUAAAGAGAGACAAUUGUAAGCACGUCGAAUUAUGAAAGAAAGAGAUAAUUUUUCCUAAAAUGUCUUAUAGCCUCUUGCUUAUAGAUAUGGCACACUACACACUGAUGAAUAAGACUUGAUGUAACGCGGAUUGUCAGACUCCCUAGGACUCUUUAAACCUUAGGCUUUGAUACCAAGUUUUUAAUGCCUUGAAAUCUCAUCACAAAGCAUCACACAGUACUUAAAGCUACAAGUAGCCCUAAGCUAACCCUUUGAGCCUGCUACUACUUCUAACACUUACUUUAGGAUGAAUAAACCAAGCAAUAAUGCUAUAUUAUAUCAUUUUGAACUGAAGUAACUAAAAAACAAUAUCUAGAUAGAAAAAUACUGAAAAAUCUAGAAACUUCAACCGAUAGUCCAACAAGCCUCUACUUACUAAGAACUAGAGAUUUAUUAGGACAAACCUCCAACUGACUCGUACUGAAAUGGAAAGGAAUAAACUAACUAUUACAAAGAAUAAAAUUAGGAAAAUAGGCCCUCAAACUAUGAGGACUCACCAACAGUAAGGAUGUAGAUAGAGGUACUCGAAGAUCACUAUCGUUGUUGAGACUGAGCACCUGAAUCUACAUUAUGAGAUAAUGUAGCACAUAGACAUAUAUAUAGAUCAGUACUUUAAGGAUGUACUGAGUAUAUGGGGGUGUAUGCAUUAAGUAAACAAUAUCAUUACUCUUUAUGAAACUAUGCAUGUAAAUAUGAAUGACUCAUAUAGCUUGAAUAAGUUUGAAAUAUAAAUCUUAUAAGUCAUGAACAAUGAAACAUGUAAUAUAAAUCUCAUGAGUCAUUAUAGUUAGUUAAAAAUUUGUAUUCUCCUCUUAUUAUCAAAGCUUGCAAAACAAAAAAGAAUCUUAAAAUAAUAACUUUCAAACUUAUACUUUUAUCUUAAGGAGAAUAAAGAACUUCUUUUGAAACUUUAGGAAUUCAAGGACUUAUGAUUAUGGAACUUUGGGACUCUUUGGGAACUUGGGAGUUUCUUCUAACCGACAUAAACCAUGUGAGCUGAAAUGGAAUCCAACGUCUUGCCCAUAAUGGGGACAGCUGUUCUACCCUUGCCAUCAGAAUAGAAUCUUAACUUUAGUGAUCACUUGUCUUAGACCACUAGGGGAAAAUCAUAGACCUACGGUGGCUCCUAGUUCUGAGGCAUGAAACCUUGGAAUCAAGCCCAAUUCGGUGAUAAAUACUACUCCCAUACUUAGGCUCAGAACUUUUUAGGAAAAUCCACUUUAAAUAAUACUAUAAUGUGUAAUAAAAGCUCAUUAUGCUUCUCUUUGCUUUAAAUCUUAGAUAAAAGUGGAUUCCUAUCUUAGCUUAGGAUCAAAGAUCAACCUUCUUUAUAAUCAAAGUACUUGCUUGUUUAAGUCAUGAUAAUACAUUAUUUUCAAGAAACAUCACAAUUCAUACUUGACUUAAAGAAUAUAU